Molecule: ribosomal RNA, 483 nt
Filed under: uncultured bacterium
Lineage: Bacteria
Description: partial 16S ribosomal RNA
Rfam family: Bacterial small subunit ribosomal RNA
Source: RNAcentral
AUUGAACGCUGGCGGCAGGCCUAACACAUGCAAGUCGAGCGGAUGAAGGGAGCUUGCUCCUGGAUUCAGCGGCGGACGGGUGAGUAAUGCCUAGGAAUCUGCCUGGUAGUGGGGGAUAACGUCCGGAAACGGGCGCUAAUACCGCAUACGUCCUGAGGGAGAAAGUGGGGGAUCUUCGGACCUCACGCUAUCAGAUGAGCCUAGGUCGGAUUAGCUAGUUGGUGGGGUAAAGGCCUACCAAGGCGACGAUCCGUAACUGGUCUGAGAGGAUGAUCAGUCACCCUGGACCUGAGACCCGGUCCAGACCCCUACGGGGGGACGCAGUGGGGAUUUUUGGAAAAUGGGCGAAAGCCUGAUCCAGCCAUGCCGCGUGUGUGAAGAAGGUCUUCGGAUUGUAAAGCCCUUUAAGUUGGGAGGAAGGGCAGUAAGUUAAUACCUUGCUUUUUUGGCGUUACCAACAGAAUAAGCCCCGGCUAACUUCGU